This 459-nucleotide ribosomal RNA is filed under the name uncultured bacterium. RNAcentral's name for it is "partial 16S ribosomal RNA". It matches the Rfam family "Bacterial small subunit ribosomal RNA", at positions 338 to 795 of the family's 1533-position model. The record is from RNAcentral.
CCUACGGGUGGCAGCAGUGAGGAAUAUUGGUCAAUGGGCGCGAGCCUGAACCAGCCAAGUCGCGUGAGGGAAGACGGUCCUAUGGAUUGUAAACCUCUUUUGUCGGGGAGCAAAAGACGCCACGCGUGGCGUUCCGAGAGUACCCGAAGAAAAAGCAUCGGCUAACUCCGUGCCAGCAGCCGCGGUAAUACGGAGGAUGCGAGAGUUAUCCGGCUUUAUUGGGGUUAAAGGGUGCGCAGGCGGAAGAUCAAGUCAGCGGUAAAAUUGAGAGGCUCAACCUCUUCGAGCCGUUGAAACUGGUGUUCUUGAGUGAGUGAGAAGUAUGCGGAAUGCGUGGUGUAGCGGUGAAAUGCAUAGAUAUCACGCAGAACUCCGAUUGCGAAGGCAGCAUACCGGCGCUCAACUGACGCUCAUGCACGAAAGUGUGGGUAUCGAACAGGAUUAGAUACCCGGGUAGUC